GGACCCGCACAAGCGGUGGAGCAUGUGGUUUAAUUCGAAGCAACGCGAAGAACCUUACCUGGUCUUGACAUCCUUUUGACCGGUCCGUAAUGGGACCUUUCCUUCGGGACAAGAGUGACAGGUGGUGCAUGGUUGUCGUCAGCUCGUGUCGUGAGAUGUUGGGUUAAGUCCCGCAACGAGCGCAACCCUUAUCUUUAGUAGCCAGCAGUAAGAUGGGCACUCUAGAGAGACUGCCAGGGAUAACCUGGAGGAAGGUGGGGAUGACGUCAAAUCAUCAUGCCCCUUAUGACCAGGGCCACACACGUGCUACAAUGGCGUAAACAAAGUGAAGCAGAGUCGUGAGGCCGAGCAAAUCACAAAAAUAACGUCUCAGUUCGGAUUGUAGUCUGCAACUCGACUACAUGAAGCUGGAAUCGCUAGUAAUCGCAGAUCAGAAUGCUGCGGUGAAUACGUUCCCGGGUCUU
Molecule: ribosomal RNA, 464 nt
Filed under: uncultured bacterium
Lineage: Bacteria
Description: bacterial SSU rRNA
Rfam family: Bacterial small subunit ribosomal RNA
Source: RNAcentral